This 253-nucleotide unclassified non-coding RNA is filed under the name Hevea brasiliensis (rubber tree). The record is from RNAcentral. Lineage: Eukaryota; Viridiplantae; Streptophyta; Magnoliopsida; Malpighiales; Euphorbiaceae.
UUCUCCUCUUUCUCCUUCAAUAAAUAUUGUUCAGAUAGCGAAGGUAUCUCGAUUGUUGCAGCUUCCGCCAUUGCUGGAAAAGGGAAGGAUGUGCUAGCUGACUGAGUAGUCGGCCUCCAAGUACAACGGAAUAAAAGAGGGGAGAGGAAAAGAGCAGCGCUCCAGCUUAGGUUAAGACCGAAAGAAGAUUUACUGCGUUACUGCGGACGUAAAAGUGAGAGCCGGAAACACGUGUCCACGCAUUGGAGCCUCA